RNAcentral lists this unclassified non-coding RNA (250 nucleotides) under plant metagenome. RNAcentral describes it as "partial contains small subunit ribosomal RNA, internal transcribed spacer 1, and 5.8S ribosomal RNA". The stretch from base 207 to 250 matches the Rfam family "5.8S ribosomal RNA", at positions 1 to 44 of the family's 154-position model. The record is from RNAcentral.
CUUGGUGAACCAGCGGAGGGAUCAUUACAGAGAAUUAAGAACCUCUAAACCCAUGUGAACAUACCUAUCGUUGCCUCGGUCGUGAUGCUGCUGGGCGGUUACCCUGUAGGCUACCCUGUAGCUUACCCUGUAACUUACCCUGUAGUAGCGGCCGAUGGACCUAAACUCGUUUUCAGUAUCACUCUGAGUAACCAAAAAUAAGUUAAAACUUUCAACAACGGAUCUCUUGGUUCAGGCAUCGAUGAAGAAC